GAUGAACGCUGGCGGCGUGCCUAAUACAUGCAAGUCGAACGAGGAGCCUUUGUAUUCGUACGAGGGUUUCCUAGUGGCGAACGGGUGAGUAACGCGUUGGUGACCUGCCCCGAAGAGGGGGAUAACUCCGGGAAACUGGAGCUAAUACCCCAUGUGGUCAUAAGGGUUGAAUACCUUAUGUCUAAAGGACUUCGGUUCGCUUCGGGAGGGGCCUGCGUCCCAUCAGCUAGUUGGUAGGGUAAUGGCCUACCAAGGCUGCGACGGGUAGGGGACCUGAGGGGUGACCCCCCACACUGGCACUGNAAACACGGGCCAGACACCUACGGGUGGCAGCAGUAGGGAGUAUUGCCCAAUGGACGAAAGUCUGAGGCAGCAACGCCGCGUGCGCGAAGAAGGCCUUCGGGUUGUAAAGCGCUUUUAUGAGGGAAGAGAAAGGACGGUACCUCAAGAAUAAGGAUCGGCUAACUACGUG
This 472-nucleotide ribosomal RNA is filed under the name uncultured bacterium. RNAcentral describes it as "bacterial SSU rRNA". It matches the Rfam family "Bacterial small subunit ribosomal RNA", at positions 28 to 507 of the family's 1533-position model. The record is from RNAcentral.